This is a long non-coding RNA of Schistocerca piceifrons (Central American locust), 3553 nucleotides long. RefSeq lists it as uncharacterized. The transcript is spliced from 2 exons. NCBI's taxonomy places the organism in Eukaryota, Metazoa, Arthropoda, Insecta, Orthoptera, Acrididae. The record is from RefSeq and is a predicted model, not a curated record.
AACGUUCUUCAAGCUCUUUCAUUGUCACUAAUCAGAUGAGCAGAUUGUGCACAUGCUUACUUUUAGCGGCUGUAGCUCACUUACUAACGGUUGGUGUGUUUGGCUCACUGUUUCAAAAGUUCUCUUUCUUUUUUGACACACCUCGUUUCUCGUUUAUAUAUUCUGGAAUAUUAAAUGGUUGUAUAGAUAUCUUUAACUGUCCAGUUGAGUAGGUCUGUCUGAAUGUCAGUGUUCUCAAUAAAAGAGCUUCCAGCGCCAAAUGUUUAAUUUCAUUGACGACCCUGCUUUUGGAUUUGGACUUAAGCGUUGUUACAACUUUGACAAGAUUUUAUUCUACAGGUAAUGUUUUCAAGGUUAUGUCUGUGUGGAUCUUUAUGCCAUACACAUUUCACCUCAAUUUACUGAAGUAUAUUCGGUGGACUGUAAGGGUUGUUUCAAAGUAAUAGGAACUUAUCAGGUGUCUGGAUUUCUUGUGCCAAAGGUAGAUUCUCAAACACGAUGUAAAGGAGCAGAGUGCAUAAAAUUUACUUGUUGUCAGAUGCUGAUAUGCCAGAAAUAUCUGCCAUGUUAGUACAUGCUAAAAAGGAAGUAAAUUCAUCAAGUUGCAUCCAGAAGCAAAAAAUUUUAAGCUAAGCCAAAGGCAAAUACAUUCAUGCACACAAUUUCACACACAUCCAGCAGUUGUGACUUAGAUAAUCUUCCAUCAUACUCAUAAGAUAUGAACUGCAGUGGCCUCGCCAUUUUUUAGCUCAAAAUAUUUUAUGUUAAAGAAAAAUUCAGUCAAGAAAAGUAAUAAUUUCUGCGACUGAAAUAUUGGGCAAUACUUAAUUUAGGCUGGUGAAAUGUGUAGUUCUACUGACAGCCAUAAAACUUAGACACUUCGUAGCUUUCAGAAAUAAUAGUCACUUUCUCGGGGAGGGGAUAUGUUGUAGAAGAAUAUAAAGCCAGGGCAGCAUAUUGAGACCCCAGGAUGAGAGAGAGAGAGAGAGAGAGAGGGAGAGAGGGAUAUAGAAAUCCACCUUAAGUGAGGACAAGGGUAGACAAAAAGAUGAAGGGGGAGGCAUUUUAUCCAAACUUGUCCUUAUAUCAAAUAAUCGAUGGACACUCUUCGUUAUUCAGUGCUACUAAGCAGCCCAAAAAUCUGCAAUGAAAGGGAGCAUAUAAAAUUAGUACGUUUGAGGAUCUUUUUCUAUCUGAUUUGCAGAGGAAAGAGAAAACUGAAAAUUUACUUGUAUCUUCUGUUUAAAAGAGGACCUGAAAGUUUGCCUGAGAACACAUACCUCAGCAGUAAUUCAACUCUGCGGCCACAAAAACACAGAAAAUAUGUUUUUGAAGAAUGAAUUGGCAUCUCAACACAUGGAGAUGGGUGACAUAAAAUUGCUUACUUAAAGUAUAAGUGAACCGCUCUCCAUUUUUUUUUCAGUGCAACAUUUUAUAUAGCAAACUAAAUAACGUUCUUAUCUUCUUUGGCAUCAUGCAACUCCUGUACCUACUUUUAUACCGCCACAGCCUGACACGAGUGCUGGUAUUCUUGUUACUUGCAACAUCAGAAAUCAAUUUAUUAAUGAAAAUCAUUGCUUAUUUGUUUAUGCUUUUCUUAUAAAUUUCUUUCUGGAAGUACGAGGGUUAUCCCAAAAGUAAGAAAUGCAUCGACAAAAAUGGUGAUUAUGUUGAAAAAUAGCUAAAUGUUCAAGCUGUAAACUGAUGUAAACCAUUGUAGAAAUACACAGGUCUAUGUACUUAUAAAAAAAAUAGGAGACCUUACUUUUGGGAUUACCCUCGUAGCUGUGUGAAUUUUCUUCUGUUUUAGCACAUGUUAUCAUUGCAGACAUUUACUUGGGGACUUGCUGGAAGAUAAAUCUUACUCACUGUGUUCAUUUUUAUUUGGUCAGAGAGACCACCAGUUUGCAGUGUAAGAAUUUUAGGACACCUGUAAAUGCAUUUCAUUAUUGAAUGUCUUUCUCUUAUGAUGAUUUCUAGAACACAUUCUUUUGAUGCACUUAACGUAGGGAAUUUGGAAGAUAUUUUGACAUCAUUAUGAAAAGGUUGGAGGUAUUUUAAUGAUUCCUUGUGUAGUGUAUUGAGUACAGGAGCUGCUGAGAUGACACUACAGACCAAUGAAAGUAUUUUGUAUGUCCAUCCUUUUAGCAGGAGGUCUAUGGGACGACAGCUGUUUACCAUUGUGACAAAAAAUAAAACACCUACAGCCAUUCUUAUUUUAUUUUGUUGCUACCAGUUUCAACGCUUCAUUGCAUCAUCAGUUGCCAGCAUUACUGGAUACGCAGAUAAUUUGUCAGCACUCCAACCAUCAAGUGCAGUUGUGUGAAAAAAUAUGCUGCAGUUGAUGGUUGGAGUGCUGACAAAUUAUCUGCGUAUCCAGUAAUGCUGGCAACUGAUGGGUUAUGCAUGGGGAUCAUAUCAACAUGUACCGCAUCAAACCAGCCGGAAGGUGACGCAUUGAAGCAUUGAAACUGGUAGCGACAAAAUAAAAUAAGGGCGGCCAUAGGUGUUUUUAUUUUUUGUUACAUUGAAAGUAUGGUUACCUGCAGCUGGGCUGCCUCAUUUGUCUGAUUUAAGUGUGCCAGAUGUCUUCCUCCAGACUUAAGAAGAGUGUGGUUUAUGAAAUCCAAGAAGAGUUAUUACAGUUCUCAGUUGGCAGAAUACAAGCAGCACAUGAAAACUUUUAUGCUGAGUCAGGCGUCUGUUAGCUGUGUACAGCUGUAUGGCAAUUUUGGAGACAUUGAAAAUUAUUUUAUCAGCUUUUGGGGUUUUUCCAGUGUAUAACUAUUUUUUAAUGUUCUCAGAUAUUCAGGUUGGUGCCACAGAGCUAACGGUGCAGUGCUUUGGGGAGCUGAGUUGGUGCUGUCUCCAGGUUGAUCUGAUGCGCCCUUCCCUCCUGCAGUCAAUAUUGCACCUGUGGUACUUGGACAUGACUUCACUGCCGAGGGUGAAGGGAAGGGUGCAGUCAGGACGCGGGCUGCGGCCCUUGGGCUGACUGUGUCAGUCAUGGAGUUUGCAUCAGCAGCGACACAUUCUCCCGGCGACUGCCUCAGUUCCUCUGAGAUGCAGUUCGACCCUGCAGAAAUUCACAAGACACUGAACAAAAUCGUAGACUACCAAACUCACCACCACUUGUGUGAAGCUUGAGGCUGCAACCAAGUAGAAGAACUGAAUGAACACAUUAAUUUCGUAAGCAGUUACCAUUGGCCAAGUGUUUAUACUUGAAGAACUUCUCCACAGAGAAGAAGCCAUCUCAGAUGUUGCUUAACCACAAGUAAUUGCCAUACAGAACAAUUGUGGCACCUGUUAAGCAACUGGAAAAAGUGUCCUUUGUUUGCUUGCACUGGACAUUUGAAAAGGGAGUUAUAUGCAUCCCAUUUCGUAAUGCUGGGUGUGGAUUGGCACAAAGUCUAAAUCACAAUUAACUAUUUUGUUGUUAAGAAUUUGUUGUUGCUGAGACCGGUGUGAUCGGUAGCUUGGUGAAAAAGCAGACAAAAAGAAAAAAAAAAAAAAGAAUGGGAAACUGUAUAGAAACAUAUUAACUUAUCAGAAU